UGGGGAAUAUUGCACAAUGGGCGAAAGCCUGAUGCAGCAACGCCGCGUGAGUGAUGAAGGCCUUCGGGUUGUAAAGCUCUGUCUUUUGGGACGAUAAUGACGGUACCAAAGGAGGAAGCCACGGCUAACUACGUGCCAGCAGCCGCGGUAAUACGUAGGUGGCAAGCGUUGUCCGGAUUUACUGGGCGUAAAGGAUGCGUAGGCGGAUUUUUAAGUGAGAUGUGAAAUACCCGGGCUUAACUUGGGUGCUGCAUUUCAAACUGGGAAUCUAGAGUGCGGGAGAGGAGAAUGGAAUUCCUAGUGUAGCGGUGAAAUGCGUAGAGAUUAGGAAGAACACCAGUGGCGAAGGCGAUUCUCUGGACCGUAACUGACGCUGAGGCAUGAAAGCGUGGGUAGCAAACAGGAUUAGAUACCCUGGUAGUCCACGCCGUAAACGAUGAGUACUAGGUGUAGGAGGUAUCGACCCCUUCUGUGCCGCAGUUAACACAAUAAGUACCCCGCCUGGGAAGUACGAUCGCAAGAUUAAAACUCAAAGGAAUUGACGGGGUC
RNAcentral lists this ribosomal RNA (549 nucleotides) under uncultured bacterium. Its description in RNAcentral is "partial 16S ribosomal RNA". It matches the Rfam family "Bacterial small subunit ribosomal RNA", at positions 355 to 920 of the family's 1533-position model. The record is from RNAcentral.